ACCGAGUUAAUUCGCACUCGGUGUUGUCACAGGACUGAGCCAGGGUACCUGUGAAAGUGGCCUGUUUCUGGGAGGCAGGCUGGCGUCCUGCCCCCAGACGCAGGCCCACGCACCGGUGCGGCGGCCGCCGACGUGUGCCGCACGCCGCCCGGCCGCGGCGCUGGCCCGCGCCGCUGUCGCCGCUCCACGCGAGCCGCUAACAGACUCGCGCUUUUUAAAAUCUAAGCCAACGAGCAAACGCAUAUUUUAAAACAAUGGUGUUAUUCUAAGUGUAACCAAUGUGUGCAAAACGAUGGACUAUAUAUAUCACUUUUUCGUUACAAUAAAGUUUAGUUGUGGGAGUUUAGUUUUUGCGAUAAUAAGUUAGAUUUAAGUUAGGUUAAGCGACAACAUAGGGCGACCAUAGCAAGCCUUGUGUGUGAAGUGUUUUCUAAGAGUAGAUUAUAAAGACGGAUGGGUGCCUUUCUUAGCCAUAAGUUUAUUUAAAAGUUUUUCAUUAUACAUCUUUGCAUUA
Zerene cesonia (dogface butterfly) is the source of this 514-nucleotide long non-coding RNA. RefSeq lists it as uncharacterized. The transcript is spliced from 4 exons. Lineage: Eukaryota; Metazoa; Arthropoda; Insecta; Lepidoptera; Pieridae. The record is from RefSeq and is a predicted model, not a curated record.